AUGAGCACCAGCUCAGAUGAGAGAAUGUUUGAGAUGGAUGCCGAGCCAGCAUCACCAACGGAGUCGGCCCCUACGCAGCAUCAAACUACUUGCCACAUCAUUGAGGGCGUCCUUGGGGGCUGCACGCCAUUGGAGAUGGAGAUAUAUGAGAGGGCCAUGGAGCAUGUGAGGGAGAUGGGGGAGGGGAGGAAGAGGAGCAGCUUGAAGAAGGGGCUCAUGGUGAGGCUGAGGAAGGAUGGCUACGAUGCUUCUCUCUGCAGGUCUUCCUGGGUCGCCACCACCCAGCAUCCCGGAGGUGACCACGAGUACAUCGACGUCCGCGUGGCGGGGGACGGCGGGGCCGGGCGGACCAGGCUAAUCGUGGACAUAGAUUUCAGGUCCCAGUUCCAGCUGGCUAGACCGGCCCCAUGGUACGCCCACCUCUCGGCCCAGCUGCCCGCCGUGUUCGUGGGCCCGCCGGACAGGCUGCGGAAGGCCGUGGCGCUGCUCUGCCUCGCCUCGCGCCGCUCGCUCCGGGAGAGCGGUCUAGACGUCCCGCCGUGGAGGCGGUCCAGCUACAUGCAGGCCAAGUGGUUCCCCUCCCCCGCGCCGCUGCCGGACGGGGACGCCGCGGUGGCCCAGCAGUCGCAGUGGUCGGUGGCCAAGCCGGGAGCGGCCGGGUCCCGGAGGUCGGGCCUCUCGAUGGAGAUGGACGGCCAGGAUGCCUCCUCGUGGGCGCAGUGA
This 723-nucleotide ribosomal RNA is filed under the name Triticum aestivum (bread wheat). RNAcentral describes it as "partial small subunit ribosomal RNA". Lineage: Eukaryota; Viridiplantae; Streptophyta; Magnoliopsida; Poales; Poaceae. The record is from RNAcentral.